Molecule: ribosomal RNA, 447 nt
Filed under: uncultured bacterium
Lineage: Bacteria
Description: bacterial SSU rRNA
Rfam family: Bacterial small subunit ribosomal RNA
Source: RNAcentral
UCGGGAAUUUUGGGCAAUGGGCGAAAGCCUGACCCAGCAACGCCGCGUGAAGGGUGAAGUAUUUCGGUAUGUAAACUUCGAAAGAAUAGGAAGAAUAAAUGACGGUACUAUUUAUAAGGUCCGGCUAACUACGUGCCAGCAGCCGCGGUAAUACGUAGGGACCAAGCGUUGUUCGGAUUUACUGGGCGUAAAGGGCGCGUAGGCGGCAAUUCAAGUCAUCUGUGAAAUCUCCGGGCUUAACUCGGAACGGUCAGAUGAUACUGCUUUGCUAGAGUGCAGAAGGGGCAAUCGGAAUUCUUGGUGUAGCGGUGAAAUGCGUAGAUAUCAAGAGGAACACCUGAGGUGAAGACGGGUUGCUGGGCUGACACUGACGCUGAGGCGCGAAAGCCAGGGGAGCAAACGGGAUUAGAUACCCACGUAGUCCCUGAGCGGGCUGGCAAGGCGCAU